This 474-nucleotide ribosomal RNA is filed under the name uncultured bacterium. RNAcentral describes it as "bacterial SSU rRNA". It matches the Rfam family "Bacterial small subunit ribosomal RNA", at positions 335 to 799 of the family's 1533-position model. The record is from RNAcentral.
ACUCCUACGGGAGGCAGCAGUGGGGAAUAUUGCACAAUGGGGAAACCCUGAUGCAGCCAUGCCGCGUGUGUGAAGAAGGCCUUCGGUUGUAAAGCACUUUCAGUAGGGAGGAAGGUAGUGUAGUUAACACCUGCAUUAUUUGACGUUACCUACAGAAGAAGCACCGGCUAACUCCGUGCCAGCAGCCGCGGUAAUACGGAGGGGUGCGAGCGUUAAUCGGAAUUACUGGGCGUAAAGCGCAUGCAGGCGGCCUGUUAAGUCAGAUGUGAAAGCCCGGGGGCUUAACCUCGGAAUUGCAUUUGAAACUGGCAGGCUAGAGUCUUGUAGAGGGGGUAGAAUUUCAGGUGUAGCGGUGAAAUGCGUAGAGAUCUGAAGGAAUACCAGUGGCGAAGGCGGCCCCCUGGACAAAGACUAGACGCUCAGAUGCGAAAGCGUGGGGAGCGAAACAGGAUUAGAUACCCUGGUAGGAUAGCG